GGGUGGUGUGUACCAUCCCUGAUGAGUCCAAAAGGACGAAAUGG
RNAcentral lists this non-coding RNA (44 nucleotides) under Eggplant latent viroid. The record is from RNAcentral.